AAACAACUCGCCUCCUUCUGUUGGAUCCCUCCGCCACUGAAGACUCUGCUGCCGAUGACGCUGGGGACCCUCCACGCCUAUGCCAGGGACCCCCGCCUGCCCCUAUGGACAGAACUGCUUCUGGUAUAAUAGGCUAUGAGCUCACUCCAGGGGCAGAUGGCAUCUCCACCUUCUAGUAAUCCACAUAGCGGACCCAGUAAAUCUGCUUCCA
Hyla sarda is the source of this 211-nucleotide long non-coding RNA. RefSeq lists it as uncharacterized. The transcript is spliced from 3 exons. The record is from RefSeq and is a predicted model, not a curated record. NCBI's taxonomy places the organism in Eukaryota, Metazoa, Chordata, Amphibia, Anura, Hylidae.